GAUGAACGCUAGCGACAGGCUUAACACAUGCAAGUCGAGGGGCAGCAUAAAAUCAGCUUGCUGAUUUUGAUGGCGACCGGCGCACGGGUGAGUAACAAGUAUGCAAUCUGCCCAUAGAUGGGGGAUAACCCGGAGAAAUCCGGCCUAAUACCCCAUAGUACAUAUUUACUGCAUGGUAAUUAUGUUAAAGAUGUAUUGUCUAUGGAUGGGCAUGCUUUCCAUUAGGUAGUCGGCGGGGUAACGGCCCACCGAGCCUACGAUGGAUAGGGGCACUGGGAGGUUUGUCCCCCACACCGGUACUGAGACACGGACUGGACUCCUACGGGAGGCAGCAGUGAGGAAUAUUGGUCAAUGGGCGAGAGCCUGAACCAGCCAAGUCGCGUGAAGGAUGAAGGUAUUAUGUAUUGUAAACUUCUUUUAUGGGGGAAUAAAAAGCGGGAUGUAUCCUGUAUUGCAUGUACCCUAUGAAUAAGCAUCGGCUAACUCCGUGCCAGCCGCCGCAGUAA
This 506-nucleotide ribosomal RNA is filed under the name uncultured bacterium. Its description in RNAcentral is "partial 16S ribosomal RNA". It matches the Rfam family "Bacterial small subunit ribosomal RNA", at positions 28 to 523 of the family's 1533-position model. The record is from RNAcentral.